GAUGAAGAACGUAGUGAAAUGCGAUAAGUAAUGUGAAUUGCAGAAUUCAGUGAAUCAUCGAAUCUUUGAACGCACAUUGAGCCCGCCAGUAUUCUGGCGGGCAUGCCUGUCUGAGCGUCAUUUCAACCCUCAUGCCCCUAGGGCGUGGUGUUGGGGAUCGGCCAAAGCCCGCGAGGGACGGCCGGCCCCUAAAUCUAGUGGCGGACCCGUCGUGGCCUCCUCUGCGAAGUAGUGAUAUUCCGCAUCGGAGAGCGACGAGCCCCUGCCGUUAAACCCCCAACUUUCCAAGGUUGACCUCAGAUCAGGUAGGAAUACCCGCUGAACUUAAGCAUAUCAAUAAGCGGAGGA
RNAcentral lists this unclassified non-coding RNA (348 nucleotides) under soil metagenome. RNAcentral describes it as "partial contains 5.8S ribosomal RNA, internal transcribed spacer 2, and large subunit ribosomal RNA". The stretch from base 1 to 120 matches the Rfam family "5.8S ribosomal RNA", at positions 35 to 154 of the family's 154-position model. The record is from RNAcentral.